UGACCUCAAGUAAUCUGCCUGCCUCGGCCUCCCAAAGUGCUGGGAUUACAGGCAUAAGCCACCAUGCCCAGCCAGUCUAGGCAGUUUUAAAGUACUAAAUGAUUUUGCAAGCAUUUAACAUCUCCUAUAAGAUAGCAGGUCUUAGUUAUGUGCCAGGCACUGGUAUUAAGUAUUUUGUUUAUAUUACUUCAUUACAACAACCAUAAGAGGCACAUAUUAUUUUAACCCCCUAUUUUACAGAGGAAAAAUUGGAGACACAGGAAACUUGAGUAGUCUUAAGUUAAAAAGCUAGAAAGUAGCAAAUCCAGAAUUUAAGUCUAAGCAGUCUACCUUCAGAAUUUUUACACCCUAACUUUUCCUUUCUGUUUCAUCUAUAUUUCAAACUUUGGGUAUUUAAAGACAUUGGGACUGUUCUGGAGAAGCUGAUAUUUAGGAAAUCUGGUUGCUGCUCACAGAAUAAAAUCUUAGGUUCAGUGUAAAUUCAGUAAUGACUGGAAAACCAACAACUCAGUUCACAAGUACUUUAAAAAUAGGUAACUGUUUAACAUUUCGUCUUCCCAACAGCCUGCUGAACUGUAAAUUCUACCAUCUCCACUUUGCAGAUGAGGAAAUUGAGACUUUGACAAGUCAAAGAGCACAGCUGGAAUGCAAGUCAAAUAUGUACAAGGAUAUCCACAACACUGUUCGCAGCUACAAGCUGAGGUACAAGGUGCCUCAAAAGCUUGAGAGAAGCAGAAAUAGAAUAGAAUCCUGACCUGUGAAAACAAUGACUCUGCAAUAAGAAAAUUCCCUAUUUGCUCCUAAUAAACACAAAAUUGAAGGCCUUUGGAAAUAUUCAAGACCACACGCUCAUGGCAGAAACUGGUUAGAAGCUAAAGAGUAUCAAGGAUAUCAAAUGGUUGGUUACUUGAACUGCUCUAUUAUCACCUUCAACUCCUUAGCAAUAAAAGAUUAAAUGUAUCUAAAAGGCUAGCAAAGUUUUUUUUAAAGGCACUAGGAUAAAAGGUAAUUUAUAACAUUUUCAAACUGGCUAGAAAUGGGUUUUUAAACAUGUGGUUUAAAAUUACCUGCAAUAUGGCUUUGCUGUAUAUGGCUAAUAAUGAAGAAUAUAUAUGGCCUAGUUGGAGAAUAAGACCAGUCUAGUUAACAAACAGAGCCACCGUAAGAGAUAGAAGAUAAAGACAGAGUUGACUCUGAAUGCUACACUAAAUUGUUUGAAUUUUCUCCUGCAAAUAAUGGGAGACUAAAGGUUUCUGAGUUAGAAAAGAACAACAAAACAGAUUUUCUGAAAGCUAAAUCUACUCUAUACUGUAACCAGAGUUGACUAGGGUAAAAUGUAAGUGGAGUGGCCAAUAAAGACAAUGUUUUAUUCCUUUACACAUGGCAGGAUAAAGGGAAGUAGCAGAAGGAAUGAAAAGUGAUCACUUCAAACAAUGGUUAUUAUAAAGAAUGAUUUCACAGGAUUUGGAGACCAGGAGCCAAACAGAGUUUUAAAAUACUGAGUAUGUCAACUGAGUCUGGGAGAAUUAUGGAACCUUAAAAUAGGAAAAUGCAUAGAAUAAGGUCUCUGGAUUCGAGGCGGGGAUAGGGAUAAGAAUUGGAAAAGAGAAGAUACAUUCUAUUUUUUAAUUAUUGCAUUUAUACUGGGAGUUUUAGCAGGUUAACUGCUAGACAGGACACAAAAGGGAUAGGCUAGAAGGGCAAAUUUAUAAGUAAUUUACAUACUUAUAUCUUACAUUUGUAAAAUAUUUUUAUUUUUACAGCUGAUUCCAAGUAUAUUAUCUCAUUUGAUCUCUACAAUUGCCCUGAAAGGUAGACAGGUCAGAUAUCUGUUUUCCACAUAUGUAGGCACUGAAAGUUAAGUCACAUAGCUAGAAGCAAUAGAACAUUAACUAAAAUUCAGAUGGGUAAAUCCUAAUGUGCAUCCACAGUGCUGUGUUAGUUACAUGUCUGUAAGAUACCAUGCUGACUACAUGCUUCCUUCAAAAUCCCAUCCUUUUUUUGCCUUUAAAAUAUGAUCAGAGAAAAUUUAUCUUUUCCCUUCAAUUGACUGCUUCAUAAAAUAAAUUUUAACACAAUCAUUAAUUUCACUGUUACAUAUGCUAACAGACUACAAGUUUAUUUUAGUACCUGAUUGUGGUAACAAGAUAUCUAUUGCUCAAAGUACCUAAAAAAAACUCAGUUUACCAAGCAGCGAAGGCAAUCAAGUAGAGAAAUGGUAGAUAUGUGUGUGAAUUUUCCUACUACAUAUGUAAAGUGAUACUAGGCUACCAACAUUCCAGUUUCCUACAACAAUAUAAAAAAUUUUAUUCUCUAUUCUGCAUUGCUCUAAUUUCAGUAUGUGCUGGCAAAGUGAGCCACAUGUCAUAACUUGACAAACUGUUUUUAAUAAUAUUUAUAGCUUAAAAAUGAAUAUCCUAAAAAUAUAAUAGACUCCUGUUAUACAAAUUAGCUAUCCUCCUGGGGUAAAACUGAAGUAUUUUCAAAAUCGUAACUGUAAUAUCCCUAAACAUACUUAUAACUAUACCAACUCCCAUCAAUUCUACCUCUGUAUCUCACAUACACUCUUAGCUUCUCCCUUCUCAUGCCACUACCUUAAAUCAUAAUAUACAUUAUCUCUUGCAUGGGUUUUUCUAUGAGCAUCUUAACUUUUCUAUGAGUUUCUCUCCAACCUGUCUUUUCUAAUUGCCAAUCAUUUUACACAGUAUUGCCAGAUUAACUUUCCGAAGCACUCCUACCACCACAACAGUGUCCCUUUUCAAGUUUUUAUUGUCUUUUCUUUAAGCUAUUGUUUCCUGAGAAUUUACUAUGUACCAUUCAUUCACUAUGCUAAGCACCUGACAUACAUUAUCUCAUUUAAUCCUCACAGCAGUCUCCUUGUUCAAUUUUGUAUCUUAACAAAAUAAAUACUUGUCCAAUGUCAAAAGCUAAAUGGCACAGCUAGGGCCUGGAGUCUGCUUGACUCCAGGGCAUUUUAACAACUAUUCUGCAGAACACCUUAGCCUGACAUUCAUAUGGCUCCACUUGACUUAGUCCUAGAAUACUUUUUCCAUUUUCUUUCUCCCUCCCCUGUCUUCUGAAUCAAACUACUUGCUGUUUCCCAUAUGAGCCCUGCAAUUUCCCACCUCCUUUGGGAAGUGUCCACAUUCCCAAAGGAAGUUUAUUAAUUUAAUAGUCAACUCUUAUAGCACUUAUUUUGUGUACUGCUUAUAUUUAGUCAUUAAACUUUGACAUACUGCUUAUAUUUUGUCAUUAAACUUUUGACAUAUUGUUUCUUAUACCAAGAAAAAAUCCUCUCUUCAACUUUUUAUCUGUUAAGAUUUUCCUCUUCCAUCAAGUAUCCUAUGAAAUCUUAAUUUUGCCUGCCCUCUCUCUCCUCUACAAACUACCCUUCUAGAGUACUUAAUCUACGCCUUUGCUGUAGCAUUUAUUGUCUACCUUGAAAUCAGAAUGUCUAUUAAUUGCAAGCCCCCGAGGCAAAGUUUGUUAACUCAUAUUUGAUGAGUUCGUAACAUAUAAAAUAUAUUGUGCUAUAUACAAAUAUUUUUUGAAUGAAAAUCUUUUUAAUCUUUUUGACCAAAGAACCACUUAAUGAGAGAGAGGAGGGUUGUGCCUUCUUACCACGAAUGUCCUCCCAUCCAAGUACUAACCAGGCCUGACCCUGCUUAGCUUCCAAGAUCAGACAAGAUCAGGCACAGUCAGGGUGGUAUGGCCGUAGAGGAAUGUCCUCAUUCAUAAUUUUACGAAUACAGUUAAAUCAAUAUGGAUUGCUGGAAGAUGGAGAGCUGGCGCUUAAACCUAAAAUUUAUUCUAAGAACAGAGUAUCACUUAUUAGAGAGAUGCAUAAGUUCUGGUCAUUCUUCUAUUAAACUAAUAUUUUCCUUUAAAUAAAUGAGGAAGAGUAAUAGUUUCUGUUUAAAUCUCUCUCCUGGGGACAAUGUUUCCAAGACUGGAAAAACUAUAAAUUCUGGUAGAAUGAAGAAAUAAUAAACAGAAAGUUAAAGUAGAAGAAACUUAAGACAAAUACAUUUACGAAAUACAUAUAUUCUUUUUUUUUUUU
This 4060-nucleotide long non-coding RNA is filed under the name Homo sapiens (human). RNAcentral's name for it is "HSALNT0377637". The record is from RNAcentral. Lineage: Eukaryota; Metazoa; Chordata; Mammalia; Primates; Hominidae.